UACGAAGGGGGCUAGCGUUGCUCGGAAUCACUGGGCGUAAAGGGUGCGUAGGCGGGUCUUUAAGUCAGGGGUGAAAUCCUGGAGCUCAACUCCAGAACUGCCUUUGAUACUGAGAUCUUGAGUUCGGGAGAGGUGAGUGGAACUGCGAGUGUAGAGGUGAAAUUCGUAGAUAUUCGCAAGAACACCAGUGGCGAAGGCGGCUCACUGGGCCCGAUACUGACGCUGAGGAGAACGCAACUGGGGGAGCGAACAGG
RNAcentral lists this ribosomal RNA (254 nucleotides) under uncultured bacterium. RNAcentral's name for it is "partial 16S ribosomal RNA". It matches the Rfam family "Bacterial small subunit ribosomal RNA", at positions 524 to 776 of the family's 1533-position model. The record is from RNAcentral.